UACAGAGGGUGCAAGCGUUGUUCGGAAUUACUGGGCGUAAAGGGCGUGUAGGCGGUUAGAUAAGUCAGAUGUUAAAGACCCGGGCUUAACCUGGGGGCUGCGUUUGAUACUGUAUAACUAGAGAGCAGGAGGGGAGAAUGGAAUUUCCGGUGUAGAGGUAAAAUUCGUAGAUAUCGGAAGGAACACCAGUGGCGAAGGCGAUUCUCUGGACUGCAACUGACGCUGAGGCGCGAAAGCGUGGGGAGCAAAC
RNAcentral lists this ribosomal RNA (250 nucleotides) under uncultured prokaryote. RNAcentral describes it as "partial 16S ribosomal RNA". It matches the Rfam family "Bacterial small subunit ribosomal RNA", at positions 524 to 773 of the family's 1533-position model. The record is from RNAcentral.